Molecule: unclassified non-coding RNA, 246 nt
Filed under: Hevea brasiliensis (rubber tree)
Lineage: Eukaryota; Viridiplantae; Streptophyta; Magnoliopsida; Malpighiales; Euphorbiaceae
Source: RNAcentral
UGAAAUUCAAUUUAUAUAGAAAAAUGGAUAAUCACUAUAUCUGUCACAAAUAUAUGCGAAUUUAUUAUCCACACAACAGUCAUCUCAGUUACAAGUUACAACUUUUGUUACAAGGUAAAAAGCAUUUGAUUCUGUGCUGUUUUUGGUAUAUCAUUACGAUACAACAACUAUAAGUCAUUCCCAGACAAGUGGGGAUAUAAUGUAUACAAAAUAACAGUACUGACUCAACUAUAUUCGAUUUCAAAG